ACUUGGUGAUGAGGGCAUUGAGUCAAGAGCAGCUUAAACCUUUCCCAUGCUUCAUGAAACGAUUCUGGAUCUCGCUGCACAAAGUUGCAAAUUUUCGCCCUCAGAUC
This is a small nucleolar RNA of Mercurialis annua (annual mercury), 107 nucleotides long. Lineage: Eukaryota; Viridiplantae; Streptophyta; Magnoliopsida; Malpighiales; Euphorbiaceae. The record is from RefSeq and is a predicted model, not a curated record.